This 464-nucleotide ribosomal RNA is filed under the name uncultured bacterium. RNAcentral describes it as "partial 16S ribosomal RNA". It matches the Rfam family "Bacterial small subunit ribosomal RNA", at positions 338 to 795 of the family's 1533-position model. The record is from RNAcentral.
CCUACGGGCGGCAGCAGUGGGGAAUUUUGGACAAUGGGCGCAAGCCUGAUCCAGCUAUUCCGCGUGUGGGAUGACGGCCCUCGGGUUGUAAACCACUUUAGUAGAGAACGAAAAGGAGCUAUCGAAUAAAUAGCUCUGCUGACGGUACUCUAAGAAUAAGCACCGGCUAACUACGUGCCAGCAGCCGCGGUAAUACGUAGGGUGCGAGCGUUAUCCGGAUUUAUUGGGUUUAAAGGGUGCGUAGGCGGAGUGUCAAGUCAGCGGUAAAAUUUCGGGGCUCAACCCCGUCGUGCCGUUGAAACUGACGCCCUUGAGGGAGUGAGAAGUAAGCGGAAUGCGUGGUGUAGCGGUGAAAUGCAUAGAUGUCACGCAGAACGCCGAUUGCGAAGGCAGCUUACCGGCGCUCAACUGACGCUGAGGCACGAAAGUGCGGGUAUCGAACAGGAUUAGAUACCCGGGUAGUC